CUGGAUACAUACUGGAUCCGGGUGACUGCAGUGACCCUCUGACUUGGAUACAGACUGGAUCUGGUGGCUACGGUGACCUCGGAAUAAGAGAGAAACAGACUAAUAUGAGCGUAGAUGCCAUUCUUCUAACGAUGUAGCAAGUACAUCGGGUGUUAUGGGAAGUGUUCCCGGUUCCGGUUUACCUAAUUAAUGCAGCCUAAAAAUCCUUUAACGGAUUUGGAUAUUAGAAGUGUAUUAGUAUGUUAUGUGUAAGCCAGGUUAAAGAGAUGGGUCUUUAAUCUAGAUUUAAACUGCAAGAGUGUGUCUGCCUCCCGAACAAUGUUAGGUAGGUUAUUCCAGAGUUUGGGCGCUAAAUAGGAGAAGGAUCUGCCGCCCGCAGUUGACUUUGAUAUUCUAGGUAUUAUCAAAUUGCCAGAGUUUUGAGAACGGAGCGGACGUGGAGGACUAUAAUGUAACAAGAGCUCGUCAAAUACUGAGGUGCUAAACCAUUCAGGGCUUUAUAAGUAAUAAGCAAGAUUUUAAAAUCUAUACAAUGUUUGAUAGGGAGCCAGUGCAGUGUUGACAGGACCGGGCUAAUAUGAUCAUACUUCCUGGUUCUAGUAAGAACUCUAGCUGCUGCAUUUUGGACUAACUGGAGUUUGUUUACUAAGCGUGCAGAACAACCACCCAAUAGAGCAUUACAAUAGUCUAACCUUGAGGUCAUAAACGCAUGGAUUAACAUUUCUGCAUUUGACAUUGAGAGCAUAGGCCGUAAUUAGGGCCCGAGCACCGAUGGUGCGAGGACCCUCUUGGAAUUGCUGUGUUUAUUAGGGCCCGAGCACCGAUGGUGUGAGGACCCUCUUGUAUCUGCUUUGUUUAUUAUUAUUAGGGCCCGAGCACCGAUGGUGUGAGGACCCUAUUGUAUCUGCUUUGUUUAUUAUUAGGGCCCGAGCACCGAUGGUGUGAGGACCCUAUUGGAAUUGCUUCGUUUAUUAGGGCCCGAGCACCGAUGGUGUGAGGACCCUAUUGUAUCUGCUUUGUUUAUUAUUAUUAUUAUUCUUCUUCUUCUUCUUCUUCUUCUCCAAAAUGAAUCGCAUUUUUGAGGGCCUAAACAUGCUCGAAAAGUCCUGAAACUUUGCACACGCGUCAGACCUGGUGAAAAUUUACGGCUGAUAUAGGUUUCAGAAGAGGGUGUGGCAAAAUGGCUCGACAGCGCCACCUACCGUAAAAAAAUCAACAGCCC
Cyprinus carpio carpio is the source of this 1222-nucleotide long non-coding RNA. The record is from Ensembl. Lineage: Eukaryota; Metazoa; Chordata; Actinopteri; Cypriniformes; Cyprinidae.